RNAcentral lists this ribosomal RNA (619 nucleotides) under uncultured bacterium. Its description in RNAcentral is "bacterial SSU rRNA". It matches the Rfam family "Bacterial small subunit ribosomal RNA", at positions 338 to 951 of the family's 1533-position model. The record is from RNAcentral.
CCUACGGGAGGCAGCAGUGGGGAAUUUUGGACAAUGGGCGCAAGCCUGAUCCAGCAAUGCCGCGUGCAGGAUGAAGGCCUUCGGGUUGUAAACUGCUUUUGUACGGAACGAAACGGUCUGCUCUAAUACAGUGGGCUAAUGACGGUACCGUAAGAAUAAGCACCGGCUAACUACGUGCCAGCAGCCGCGGUAAUACGUAGGGUGCGAGCGUUAAUCGGAAUUACUGGGCGUAAAGCGUGCGCAGGCGGUUAUAUAAGACAGAUGUGAAAUCCCCGGGCUCAACCUGGGACCUGCAUUUGUGACUGUAUAGCUAGAGUGCGGCAGAGGGGGAUGGAAUUCCGCGUGUAGCAGUGAAAUGCGUAGAUAUGCGGAGGAACACCGAUGGCGAAGGCAAUCCCCUGGGCCUGCACUGACGCUCAUGCACGAAAGCGUGGGGAGCAAACAGGAUUAGAUACCCUGGUAGUCCACGCCCUAAACGAUGUCAACUGGUUGUUGGGUCUUCACUGACUCAGUAACGAAGCUAACGCGUGAAGUUGAACCGCCUGGGGAGUACGGCCGCAAGGUUGAAACGUCAAAAGAGAGUAGAGCGNGAGAGNGCGAGGCGACACGAGGGGAGAGG